AACCAGCACCUCAAGUGGUCAGGAUGAUUAUUGGGCCUAAAGCAUCCGUAGCCGGCUAUGUAAGUUUUCGGUUAAAUCUGUGCGCUUAACGUACAGGCUGCCGGGAAUACUGCACAGCUAGGAAGUGGGAGAGGCAGACGGUACUCGGUAGGAAGGGGUAAAAUCCUUUGAUCUAUUGAUGACCACCUGUGGCGAAGGCGGUCUACCAGAACACGUUCGACGGUGAGGGAUGAAAGCUGGGGGAGCAAACCGGAUUAGAUACCCGGGUAGUCCCAGCCGUAAACUAUGCAAACUCAGUGAUGCAUUGGCUUGUGACCAAUGCAGUGCUGCAGGGAAGCCGUUAAGUUUGCCGCCUGGGAAGUACGUACGCAAGUAUGAAACUUAAAGGAAUUGGCGGGGGAGCACCACAAGGGGUGAAGCCUGCGGUUCAAUUGGAGUCAACGCCAGAAAUCUUACCCGGAGAGACAGCAGAAUGAAGGUCAAGCUGAAGACUUUACCAGACAAGCUGAGAGGUGGUGCAUGGCCGUCGCCAGCUCGUGCCGUGAGAUGUCCUGUUAAGUCAGGUAACGAGCGAGAUCCCUGCCUCUAGUUGCCACCAUUACUCUCAGGAGUAGUGGGGCGAAUUAGCGGGACCGCCGCAGUUAAUGUGGAGGAAGGAAGGGGCCACGGCAGGUCAGUAUGCCCCGAAACUCUGGGGCCACACGCGGGCUGCAAUGGUAGUGACAAUGGGUUCCGAAUCCGAAAGGAGGAGGUAAUCCUCAAACGCUCCCACAGUUGUGACUGAGGGCUGCAACUCGCCCUCACGAACAUGGAAUCCCUAGUAACUGCGUGUCAUUAUCGCGCGGUGAAUACGUCCCUGCUCCU
RNAcentral lists this ribosomal RNA (864 nucleotides) under uncultured archaeon. RNAcentral's name for it is "SSU rRNA". It matches the Rfam family "Archaeal small subunit ribosomal RNA", at positions 474 to 1337 of the family's 1478-position model. The record is from RNAcentral.